UAACACGUAGGGGACGAGCGUUGUCCGGAUUCAUUGGGCGUAAAGCGCGCGUAGGCGGCUCGGAAAGUCGGGCGUGAAAUGCCGGGGCUCAACCCCGGGACUGCGUCCGAUACUUCCGAGCUGGAGGUAGGUAGGGGAGAUCGGAAUUCCUGGUGUAGCGGUGAAAUGCGCAGAUAUCAGGAGGAACACCGGUGGCGAAGGCGGAUCUCUGGGCCUUACCUGACGCUGAGGCGCGAAAGCUAGGGGAGCGAACAGGAUUAGAUACCCUGGUAGUCCACGCUGUAAACGAUGGGCACUAGGUGUGGGGGGUGUCGACUCCCUCCGUGCCGAAGCUAACGCAUUAAGUGCCCCGCCUGGGGAGUACGGCCGCAAGGCUA
RNAcentral lists this ribosomal RNA (377 nucleotides) under uncultured bacterium. RNAcentral's name for it is "bacterial SSU rRNA". It matches the Rfam family "Bacterial small subunit ribosomal RNA", at positions 521 to 896 of the family's 1533-position model. The record is from RNAcentral.